CGGAAACGAUCCUAGCUUGCUAGGAGGCGUCGAGCGGCGGACGGGUGAGUAAUGCAUAGGAAUCUGCCCGAUAGUGGGGGAUAACCUGGGGAAACUCAGGCUAAUACCGCAUACGUCCUACGGGAGAAAGCAGGGGAUCUUCGGACCUUGCGCUAUCGGAUGAGCCUAUGUCGGAUUAGCUAGUUGGUGAGGUAACGGCUCACCAAGGCGACGAUCCGUAGCUGGUCUGAGAGGAUGAUCAGCCACACUGGGACUGAGACACGGCCCAGACUCCUACGGGAGGCAGCAGUGGGGAAUAUUGGACAAUGGGGGAAACCCUGAUCCAGCCAUGCCGCGUGUGUGAAGAAGGCCUUCGGGUUGUAAAGCACUUUCAGCGAGGAAGAAGGCCUGGGGGCUAAUACCCCUCAGGAAGGACAUCACUCGCAGAAGAAGCACCGGCUAACUCCGUGCCAGCAGCCGCGGUAAUACGGAGGGUGCGAGCGUUAAUCGGAAUUACUGGGCGUAAGCGCGCGUAGGUGGCUUGAUAAGCCGGUUGUGAAAGCCCCGGGCUCAACCUGGGGAACCGCUAUCCGGAACUGUUCAGGCUAGAGUGCAGGAAA
Molecule: ribosomal RNA, 599 nt
Filed under: Bisbaumannia pacifica
Lineage: Bacteria; Pseudomonadati; Pseudomonadota; Gammaproteobacteria; Oceanospirillales; Halomonadaceae
Description: bacterial SSU rRNA
Rfam family: Bacterial small subunit ribosomal RNA
Source: RNAcentral